RNAcentral lists this ribosomal RNA (406 nucleotides) under uncultured bacterium. RNAcentral's name for it is "partial 16S ribosomal RNA". It matches the Rfam family "Bacterial small subunit ribosomal RNA", at positions 29 to 526 of the family's 1533-position model. The record is from RNAcentral.
AUUGAACGCUGGCGGCAGGCCUAACACAUGCAAGUCGAACGAGUGGCGGACGGGUGAGUAAUGUCUGGGAAACUGCCUGAUGGAGGGGGAUAACUACUGGAAACGGUAGCUAAUACCGCAUACCAUCAGAUGUGCCCAGAUGGGAUUAGCUGGUUGGUGGGGUAAAGGCUCACCAAGGCGACGAUCCCUAGCUGGUCUGAGAGGAUGACCGGCAAAACUGGGACUGAGACACGGUCCAGAUGCCUAAGGGAGGCAGCAGUGGGGAAGAUUGGACAAUGGGCGAAAGCCGGAUGCAGCCAUGCCGCGUGUAUGAAGAAGGCCUUCGGGUGGUAAAGUAAUUUCAGCGGGGAGGCGUUACCCGCAGAAGAAGCACCGGAUAACUCCGUGCCAGCAGCCGCGGUAAUAC